GAUGAACGCUGGCGGUGUGCCUAAUACAUGCAAGUCGAGCGAACAGACGAGGAGCUUACUCCUCUGACGUUAGCGGCGGACGGGUGAGUAACACGUGGAUAACCUACCUAUAAGACUGGGAUAACUUCGGGAAACCGGAGCUAAUACCGGAUAACAUGUUGAACCGCAUGGUUCAACAGUGGAAGACGGUCUUGCUGUCACUUAUAGAUGGAUCCGCGUCGCAUUAGCUAGUUGGUAAGGUAACGGCUUACCAAGGCAACGAUGCGUAGCCGACCUGAGAGGGUGAUCGGCCACACUGGAACUGAGACACGGUCCAGACUCCUACGGGAGGCAGCAGUAGGGAAUCUUCCGCAACGGGCGAAAGCCUGACGGAGCAACGCCGCGUGAGUGAAGAAGGUCUUCGGAUCGUAAAACUCUGUUAUUAGGGAAGAACAAAUGUGUAAGUAACUAUGCACGUCUUGACGGUACCUAAUCAGAAAGCCACGGCUAACUACGUG
Molecule: ribosomal RNA, 497 nt
Filed under: uncultured bacterium
Lineage: Bacteria
Description: partial 16S ribosomal RNA
Rfam family: Bacterial small subunit ribosomal RNA
Source: RNAcentral